GUGUGCUCAGGUAAACAGUACACUACUGUGAAUGUUUAUCACAAAAUGUCAUAUGUAAUUAAUAACUCCAGGGUGAUUAGGACCAGAGGGGUCCUUUAUUAUCCUGAAUACUUACCCAAAUAAAUAAAUAUGCGGACAUUUAAAUAUUUUAGGCUUAGCAGAACCUGAACAGUAAUUGUUUUUAUGUACAUACUUUUUCCAUCUAGAGUUUAAAGAGAUCAGGUUAACUGAGGGCUGUAAAGGGAAUGUGGAGGUUUUCUACAAUGGAUCCUGGGGUAAUGUGUGUUAUAAUAAGAUGGACAGAGACACAGCGAGUCUGAUCUGUCAGGAAUUGAACUGUGGAAAAUCUGGCAGUGAACCCAAUUAUUCAAAAGGACUGAAGUUUAAAAAUUGGCUUGAUUAUUUUAAAUGUCGACGUCAUGAUUCCACUCUAUGGCAGUGUCCAUCUUCACCCUGGGGACUGAAUGACUGAUAAUGAAGUGGCCAAGAUCACAUGCUCAGAGAAGGAGAAUCGUGAAUCUCCUCAGAGUCAUCUGACAUAUUUUACCUCACCAUCUCCUCAUCAGAGACAGUGUUCAAAUCAUGUUCCUCUCAGACUGAGUGGAGGGGAGGGCCGGUGCUCUGGGAGGCUGGAGGUGUAUCAUAACGCUGUGUUGGGCUCAGUCUGUGAUGAUCUGUGGGACAUCAGUGAUGCUCAGGUGGUCUGCAGACAGCUGGGUUGUGGAGCAGCACUGAGGGCUGAUGGGAAUUCAGUCUUUGGUGCUGGUGAAGGUGUUGUGUGGCUGAACAGAGUCGAGUGCAGAGAUUCACCUGUGGGACUGUCCUCUCUCCCUGAAGAAACACACUGACUGCUCCAACAAAGAGCACUCUGGACUCACCUGUGCACCUGACGUUGAAGAGAGGGUGAAUGCAGGCACAUCAGGAUACUAUGAGGAAAUCAUCAUCGAUGGACCAAAACCCGAUCGUGAGACAGAUGACACACCAGAGGACUAUGAUUAUGUCAUUACCAGUGGACAGACCUAUGUGGACACACCAGAGAAU
Molecule: RNA transcript, 1041 nt
Organism: Megalobrama amblycephala (Wuchang bream)
Lineage: Eukaryota; Metazoa; Chordata; Actinopteri; Cypriniformes; Xenocyprididae
Gene name: scavenger receptor cysteine-rich type 1 protein M130-like
Exons: 5
Source: RefSeq, a predicted model, not a curated record